Molecule: ribosomal RNA, 624 nt
Filed under: uncultured bacterium
Lineage: Bacteria
Description: bacterial SSU rRNA
Rfam family: Bacterial small subunit ribosomal RNA
Source: RNAcentral
GCGGCGCAUUAGUUAGUUGGCGGGGUGAAGGCCCACCAAGACGAUGAUGCGUAGCCGGACUGAGAGGUUGAACGGCCACAUUGGGACUGAGAGACGGCCCAAACUCCUACGGGAGGCAGCAGUAGGGAAUUUUCGGCAAUGGGGGCAACCCUGACCGAGCAACGCCGCGUGAACGACGAAGUACUUCGGUAUGUAAAGUUCUUUUAUCAGGGAAGAAUGGCUUACGGAAAAGUGAGCGUGACGGUACCUGAUGAAUAAGCCCCGGCUAACUAUGUGCCAGCAGCCGCGGUAAUACAUAGGGGGCAAGCGUUAUCCGGAAUUAUUGGGCGUAAAGGGUGCGUAGGUGGCCGUUUAAGUCUUUGGUGUAAGUGCAAGGCUCAACCUUGUGAUGCUAAAGAAACUGAAUGGCUUGAGUGUGGUAGAGGCAAGUGGAAUUCCAUGUGUAGCGGUAAAAUGCGUAAAUAUAUGGAGGAACACCGGUGGCGAAGGCGGCUUGCUGGGCCACAACUGACACUGAGGCACGAAAGCGUGGGGAGCAAACAGGAUUAGAUACCCUGGUAGUCCACGCCGUAAACGAUGAGUACUAAGUGUAGGGGAAACUCUGUGCUGUAGUUAACGCAAUAA